UCCCUGGUGGCUCAGAGGUUAAAGCAACUGCCUAGAAUGCAGGAGACCUGGGUUCGAUCCCUGGGUUGGGAA
Non-coding RNA from Bos taurus (domestic cattle), 72 nucleotides. Lineage: Eukaryota; Metazoa; Chordata; Mammalia; Artiodactyla; Bovidae. The record is from Rfam.